This is a long non-coding RNA of Oncorhynchus keta (chum salmon), 536 nucleotides long. RefSeq lists it as uncharacterized. The transcript has 3 exons. NCBI's taxonomy places the organism in Eukaryota, Metazoa, Chordata, Actinopteri, Salmoniformes, Salmonidae. The record is from RefSeq and is a predicted model, not a curated record.
UGUCCUCCACUCAUCUUUCUCCCAGGUCCAGGAUGUCCUCCACUCAUCUUUCUCCCAGGUCCAGGAUGUCCUCCACUCAUCUUUCUCCCAGGUCCAGGAUGUCCUCCACUCAUCUUUCUCCCAGAUCCAGGAUGUCCUCCACUCAUCUUUCUCCCAGGUCCAGGAUGUCCUCCACUCAUCUUUCUCCCAGGUCCAGGAUGUCCUCCACUCAUCUUUCUCCCAGGUCCAGGAUGUCCUCCACUCAUCUUUCUCCCAGGUCCAGGAUGUCCUCCACUCAUCUUUCUCCCAGAUCCAGGAUGUCCUCCACUCAUCUUUCUCCCAGGUCCAGGAUGUCCUCCACUCAUCUUUCUCCCAGGUCCAGGAUGUCCUCCACUCAUCUUUCUCCCAGGUCCAGGAUGUCCUCCACUCAUCUUUCUCCCAGUCCCAGGAUGUCCUCCACUCAUCUUUCUCCCAGUCCCAGGAUGUCCUCCACUCAUCUUUCUCCCAGGUCCAGGAUGUCCUCCACUCAUCUUUGUCCCAGUCCCAGGAUGUCCUCC